UACGUAGGCAGCGAGCGUUGUUCGGAGUUACUGGGCGUAAAGGGUGCGUAGGCGGCCGAUUAAGUUUGUCGUGAAAUCUCCCGGCUUAACUGGGAGGGUGCGGCGAAUACUGACCGGCUCGAGUGUGGGAGAGGAGAGUGGAAUUCCUGGUGUAGCGGUGAAAUGCGUAGAUAUCAGGAGGAACACCGGCGGUGUAGACGGCUCUCUGGACCAUAACUGACGCUGAGGCACGAAAGCGUGGGUAGCAAACAGG
Molecule: ribosomal RNA, 253 nt
Filed under: uncultured bacterium
Lineage: Bacteria
Description: partial 16S ribosomal RNA
Rfam family: Bacterial small subunit ribosomal RNA
Source: RNAcentral